GUGGCUUAGAUACCCCAGUAGUCCACGCCCUAAACGUUGAUUACUCGCUGUUGGCGAUAUACUGUCAGUGGCUAAGCGAAAGCGUUAAGUAAUCCACCUGGGAAGUACGACCGCAAGGUUGAAACUCAAAGGAAUUGACGGGGGCCCGCACAAGCGGAGGAGCAUGUGGUUUAAUUCGAUGAUACGCGAGAAACCUUACCUGGGCUUAAAUGUCAGGUGACCGCUGCCGAAAGGUGGCUUCCCUUCGGGGCAACUGGCAAGGUGCUGCACGGCUGUCGCCAACU
Molecule: ribosomal RNA, 284 nt
Filed under: uncultured bacterium
Lineage: Bacteria
Description: partial 16S ribosomal RNA
Rfam family: Bacterial small subunit ribosomal RNA
Source: RNAcentral